Non-coding RNA from Sus scrofa (pig), 901 nucleotides. NCBI's taxonomy places the organism in Eukaryota, Metazoa, Chordata, Mammalia, Artiodactyla, Suidae. The record is from RefSeq and is a predicted model, not a curated record.
AGUCACCAAGUUUGUGGGUAUUUGUUUUGACAACCCUAGGAAACUAUUACACAGCUUCCUUCAGGAAGUGACAUCUAAGCAGACCUCUGGAGGAGGAGUAAUUAGAAGCAGACUCUGAUACAGUUUAGUGGGCAGGCUAUUUACUAGAGAGAGUCACUGGGAUCCACAAGUGUGGCAGGAAGGGGAAGGACAUGGCCAGCAGCGGGAGAAGUCAAGCUGUUGAGGAAAUGCCCUCUAUAGACAUAAACUGAAGUUGCAUGCAUCAUACUAACUUGGAAGAGAACAAAGUAAUUUGUCAAGAGAUGACGACAAGCAGUUCAGACAUGUUCCAACUGAUUAUUGCACUUAGAGAAUUUCUAGACGUUUGUUCAUCUGAGGAAGGAAUUUCAAGAAUGAAGAACUUAAAAAGGGCCAGAUAAAUACUUGGAAAAAAUUAAAAAUAAUAAACUGGUUGAUAAAAGCAGGCAAACAUAAACUUGGGAGACAUCCCUGGGAAAAUUCUGAAGAGCAUGUAAGAUCAGACAAGAAUCAAUAAACUUUGUACAAUCAAAAGGAGUGCUAGUGCUGUUUACAACCUCUAGCAGGAAACAGAAGAAAGGACGCCAGCUGAGCAUCUAUUUACUGCCCACCAAGCAGGUGUGAGUUCCUACACUGUUUACUCAGAAGUGUUUUUCUACUGAGCAAGGUGCUUCUUCCCAGUCAUGGCAACAUUAUAUCCAACAGCUACUGGAGUAGUGCCAGUCCUGCUCCUUAAUUACUGAAUCACAUUCUUUCCAAUUCAUAAUACAAAAACUCAUGCUGUUGGAGAAAUGCCUAUUCAAAGUCUUCUGUCUAGGAGGUAGGCAAGGACCCCACAAUCUACUUUUUUACAGACUUUUUUUUCAUUUUUUAAAGGUUUAUU